RNAcentral lists this unclassified non-coding RNA (345 nucleotides) under soil metagenome. Its description in RNAcentral is "partial contains 5.8S ribosomal RNA, internal transcribed spacer 2, and large subunit ribosomal RNA". The stretch from base 1 to 120 matches the Rfam family "5.8S ribosomal RNA", at positions 35 to 154 of the family's 154-position model. The record is from RNAcentral.
GAUGAAGAACGUAGCGAAAUGCGAUAAGUAAUGUGAAUUGCAGAAUUCAGUGAAUCAUCGAGUCUUUGAACGCACAUUGCGCCCCCUGGUAUUCCGGGGGGCAUGCCUGUCCGAGCGUCAUUGCUGCCCUCAAGCACGGCUUGUGUGUUGGGCCUCCGUCCUCCUCCCGGGGGACGGGCCCGAAAGGCAGCGGCGGCACCGCGUCCGGUCCUCGAGCGUAUGGGGCUUCGUCACCCGCUCUUGUAGGCCCGGCCGGCGCUUGCCGACACAUCAAUCUUUUUUCCAGGUUGACCUCGGAUCAGGUAGGGAUACCCGCUGAAUUUAAGCAUAUCAAUAAGCGGAGGA